GCCCCGAUGGCGGAAUUGGUAGACGCGCAUGGUUCAGGUCCAUGUACUGCAAGGUGUGGAGGUUCAAAUCCUCUUCGGGGCACCA
This 85-nucleotide transfer RNA is filed under the name Alcaligenaceae bacterium. Its description in RNAcentral is "tRNA-Leu". It matches the Rfam family "tRNA". Rfam says of the family: Transfer RNA (tRNA) molecules are approximately 80 nucleotides in length. Their secondary structure includes four short double-helical elements and three loops (D, anti-codon, and T loops). Further hydrogen bonds mediate the characteristic L-shaped molecular structure. tRNAs have two regions of fundamental functional importance: the anti-codon, which is responsible for specific mRNA codon recognition, and the 3' end, to which the tRNAs corresponding amino acid is attached (by aminoacyl-tRNA synthetases). tRNAs cope with the degeneracy of the genetic code in two manners: having more than one tRNA (with a specific anti-codon) for a particular amino acid; and 'wobble' base-pairing, i.e. permitting non-standard base-pairing at the 3rd anti-codon position. The record is from RNAcentral. Lineage: Bacteria; Pseudomonadati; Pseudomonadota; Betaproteobacteria; Burkholderiales; Alcaligenaceae.